CAAGUAUCGUGAUGACGUCAAAAGAGUCGCCGGAAAACAACCCUGGACUCGUAACUUCGCCGGACAUUCAGCUCAGGUAUAGCAGAGCCUGUUCUCUCUCUUGAAUUCAUUUGUUACAUGGAAUAAUAUUAUAUUCAAGUCUCUUUGUAAUGCAUGAAUUAUGUUUUCCGGUACACAUUUCCUUCAUCUUCUCAAUUUUACCGCUUUGGUCAUAUAUAUGGUGCUGCAUAACAGCUGAUAAACACUUCAUAUUCUUCCAUCCAUUUGACCAUUUUCACCAGAAACUUGAAAAAAAUUCUCUCUUCUAUCUCUGACAAUCUCCAAUAUCCACUCCUAACUACCCUUGCAUCUUCACCACAUCAACCUUUCAAUUCCGUCGUUGCUUUUGAUCUCACUCUUAUAUAAUCACUUUCUUACAAUGAAAUAGGAAAGGUACACGCAAAGAGUCAUAUUAAUUACCUACGUUUUUGAGAGAUGAAUUAUAUUGUGAAUGCAUAUUGUUUUGAAGACAUAAAUGAUAUAUGUGUGUGUAUAUUUGUUCGUAGAUAAAGGAGAGGAAGAGGAGGGAGGGAGGAAUGAAUUAAUCUGAUCAACAUGAAAUAGUACAAGGUCUACUCUUUCCCCAUAAUUUCCAGACGAACUAUUGCAUUUAUGACCGUGUAGUGAUAGCCCUUUGAGAAAUACAUAGUAUUUUACGUAUGAUUUUCUUAAUCGGAAACCAGCAAUGGUGAGCAAUGUGAGUGUUAGGCUGGAUCUCGUUCCAUUAACGUUGACAGAACUGAGUUUGCUGAUUGGUGCAUGUUUUCUUUAACAUUGUUUUUUUUUUCAAAUAUAAUUUAUAAAUUUAAAACUCGAAUCAUUUUCUUAAAUUCAGUCGAACACAUUAAACUUCAAAUAAAGUAGUUCAGGAGAUUUAAACUUUGGCACCGUGAUUAAAGAUUGUGUGUUUGAACUAUUGUUUAAAAUGAGUGGCUGGUUUGUAGUUAAUUAAUCUAAAUUUUCAAUUAAUCAUCCACUAUAAAUUGUGUGUUAGAAAUGUUGAUUUUUAGUUAAUAAUAUGGAAUUAGUAAGCUUAAUUUAGAAAUGGCUAUAGGAUAAUUAAUGGAUUGUGUGUUUCAUGAUAUUUAGCUAUGAAUUUGUUUCUAGGAUGGAAAUUUGUAGUUUGUGUUUAAUGAUUUGAGCACGAAUAUUGAGUUUGUUCUGUAGAUGUUAGUAUUUUUAUUUAUUACAAAUUACAAGUACCUUAUGUUUGCCUUAAAGUUAACGUGUCCUGUAAUUCUAAAUACGAAAUUAAAAUGUUGAUUAGCAGCCGAUGAUGUUUGGGUCGAUACCUCUGAAGCGGGAGCCUGGAUGCUGAUAUAUAUUUUCUCUUAAUUUUGGUGACACAAUUAAUUCCCGGUAAGUGUAUGCAGAGAUGUCAUUUUUGAUAAUGUUGUAUGUCACAAUUGUCUCAAUUUCAAAAGCAGUGACUGGCUGUAGAAAUUGUUAGGUGCCACAUUUCUUCCACUUGUAUAUUAACUGUAACUGUAACUGUAACUGAAUAGAGAGGAGGAUUCUUAUUCUUAUAAAAAUAACAUGGUGC
RNAcentral lists this long non-coding RNA (1582 nucleotides) under Erythranthe guttata (spotted monkey flower). RNAcentral's name for it is "long non-coding RNA (EGUT_LNC003712)". Lineage: Eukaryota; Viridiplantae; Streptophyta; Magnoliopsida; Lamiales; Phrymaceae. The record is from RNAcentral.